This 65-nucleotide transfer RNA is filed under the name Colias fieldii. RNAcentral's name for it is "tRNA-Thr". It matches the Rfam family "tRNA". From Rfam's summary of the family: Transfer RNA (tRNA) molecules are approximately 80 nucleotides in length. Their secondary structure includes four short double-helical elements and three loops (D, anti-codon, and T loops). The record is from RNAcentral. Lineage: Eukaryota; Metazoa; Arthropoda; Insecta; Lepidoptera; Pieridae.
GUUUUUAUAGUUUAAAUUCAAAACAUUGGUCUUGUAAACCAAAAAUAAUUUUUAAUUUAAAAACU